GUCCCCAUUAGAAUUGGAAGCUUGUACUGCUGGAAGGUAUGCGAAACAGGACACACCCUACGUUCAAAACUAUGAAUCUGCGCUCCACAAAUUCACUCGACCAGUCCAACCCUUCAAUAUUCUACAGAAUGCAGUGACUUCCAUGCCUGGUGGCCAAUCCGCAGUUCAGCGGCGCCAAGGAUAUACAAAUAAUUCAAAACCCAAAUCAGAGAGGGCGAGCCUACCGAUCCCAAUCACGUCAAAACGCCCACCGUUUAACCGUCAGCAAGCUCGCGUGUAUCGGAAAGAUAAUUCAAACUUGUCAACUUCCCGGCGUAAACAAAUGCAGUCACACCCAGCUGCCCUUGACAGCCGAAAGCUGGAGAAGACCCAAAUACCAAAAGAUUUAGCCAAUGGUGCGAGGCCUCAGUCGCUUUUAAACCUUGGAGAGCAAUGGCUA
RNAcentral lists this small RNA (439 nucleotides) under Histoplasma ohiense. Its description in RNAcentral is "hypothetical lncRNA". The record is from RNAcentral. Lineage: Eukaryota; Fungi; Ascomycota; Eurotiomycetes; Onygenales; Ajellomycetaceae.